RNAcentral lists this ribosomal RNA (305 nucleotides) under uncultured bacterium. Its description in RNAcentral is "bacterial SSU rRNA". It matches the Rfam family "Bacterial small subunit ribosomal RNA", at positions 333 to 636 of the family's 1533-position model. The record is from RNAcentral.
GGAAGCCUACGGGGGGCAGCAGUGAGGAAUAUUGGUCAAUGGCCGGGAGGCUGAACCAGCCACGUCGCGUGAGGGAAGACGGCCCUACGGGUUGUACACCUCUUUUGCCAGGGAGCAAGGUGCAGGUCGGGACCUGCUGUGAGAGUACCUGAAGAAAAAGCAUCGGCUAACUCCGUGCCAGCAGCCGCGGUAAUACGGAGGAUGCGAGCGUUAUCCGGAUUUAUUGGGUUUAAAGGGUGCGCAGGCGGAGGCACAAGUCAGCGGUAAAAUCGCGGGGCUCACCCCCGCUCCGCCGUUGAAACUGU